AGAAGAAGCAAGAACAUAAAGAUCAGGGGCAUAGCAGAGGAAACGCCGGAGGCUGAGCUGCCCCAUCUUGUGCGACGGCUCCUCACAGCCCUCCUUACGCCUAAGCAAGCCAAACAGAUAAUCCUAGAGGGGAUGUUUCGCCUCCCACGGCCAACCAAAGCCUUAGGUACCCUACCCAGGGACCUGUUAGUACGCUUCACUAGCAACAAAGACAAAAUGGCAGUGAUGAACGCAACCAGAACCCAGUCCCCCUACAUAUUUGAGGGCAUGUCGCUCACAUUCUACACAGACCUGUCACGGUCCACAAUGGCCUGGCGCCGCUCACUCCAACCCUUCACUUCCCUACUUCACGCACAAACCAUCACCUAUAAAUGGAGGGGCCCACAUGCGCUACAAAUAAGCCACGGAAACAGCCAAUACACCGUUCAAGACAUGCAGGGCGCACGCGACCUAUUGCCCACGUUGGGCCUGCGAAAGGACUCCUUACCUUCAGGGGGGCGAAGACCGACCAAUGCACCAUCUGGGAUGGGUGACCCCGCCACGUCUCUUCCGUUUGUCCCCCGAGAGUUUAAUGCCGCGAACUAUGCAGCGAUUACGACCUGAGGAGACCAGAA
Pelobates cultripes (western spadefoot toad) is the source of this 614-nucleotide non-coding RNA. The record is from the annotation of a GenBank genome assembly. NCBI's taxonomy places the organism in Eukaryota, Metazoa, Chordata, Amphibia, Anura, Pelobatidae.